UACGGAGGGUGCGAGCGUUGUCCGGAAUCACUGGGCGUAAAGGGCGCGUAGGUGGCUUGGUAAGCGUGCGGUGAAAGCCCGGGGCUCAACCCCGGGUCGGCCGUGCGGACUACCAUGGCUUGAGCACUGUAGAGGCAGGUAGAAUUCCGGGUGUAGCGGUGGAAUGCGUAGAGAUCCGGAAGAAUACCGGUGGCGAAGGCGGCCUGCUGGGCAGUAGCUGACACUGAGGCGCGACAGCGUGGGGAGCAAACAGG
RNAcentral lists this ribosomal RNA (254 nucleotides) under uncultured bacterium. RNAcentral's name for it is "partial 16S ribosomal RNA". It matches the Rfam family "Bacterial small subunit ribosomal RNA", at positions 524 to 776 of the family's 1533-position model. The record is from RNAcentral.